GACGAACGCUGGCGGCGUGCUUAACACAUGCAAGUCGAACGGAAAGGCCCUGCUUUUGUGGGGUGCUCGAGUGGCGAAAGGGUGAGUAACACGUGAGUAACCUUCCCUUGACUUAGGGAUAACUUCAGGAAACUGGGGCUAAUACCGGAUAGGAGCUCCUGCUGCAUGGUGGGGGGUGGAAAGUUUCGGCGGUUGGGGAUGGACUCGCGGCUUAUCAGCUUGUUGGUGGGGUAGUGGCUUACCAAGGCUUUGACGGGUAGCCGGCCUGAGAGGGUGACCGGCCACAUUGGGACUGAGAUACGGCCCAGACUCCUACGGGAGGCAGCAGUGGGGAAUAUUGCACAAUGGGCGGAAGCCUGAUGCAGCAACGCCGCGUGCGGGAUGACGGCCUUCGGGUUGUAAACCGCUUUCGCCUGUGACGAAGCGUGAGUGACGGUAAUGGGUAAAGAAGCACCGGCUAACUACGUG
RNAcentral lists this ribosomal RNA (468 nucleotides) under uncultured bacterium. RNAcentral's name for it is "partial 16S ribosomal RNA". It matches the Rfam family "Bacterial small subunit ribosomal RNA", at positions 28 to 507 of the family's 1533-position model. The record is from RNAcentral.